CUUGCUGCUGAUUCCUGCUCUUUCUUUGCAAACUGAGGGCAGUGAGAAAAUUGCUGACCGCUUCUCUAAGAAGGUAGAAAAACAUAUUUUAAAAUGAGUCACAUUUCAGAGUUAGCAAAUGUAAACAAAACAAAACAAAAUUGGAUUAAGUGAUUUUAAUCUAAAAUCUUAAAUCACCUCUUACGUGUUCUGGAUGAUCAAAUGAACAACUUUCUAAUUCUCUUAUAUUCUUUAGUGAGCAAUCAUUGUUAAAUACAGUGAGGUCAGAAAGAAAAAAGAAAAGCAGGCUGGACAUGGUGGCUCAAGCCUGUAAUCCCAGCACUUUGGGAGGCCAAGGCAGGUGGAUCACUUGAGGUCAGGAGUUCAAGAUCAGCCUGGCCAACAUGGUGAAACCCUGUCUCUACUAAAAAUACAAAAAAUAGCCAGGUGUAGUGGCAUGCCCCUGUAAUCCCAGCUACUAGGGAGGCUGAGGCAGGAGAAUGGCUUGAACCCAGGAGACAGAGGUUGCAGUGAGCCGAGAUCACACCACUGCCCUCCAGCCUGGGCAACAGAGUGAGACUGUCUCAAAAAAAAAAAAAAAAAAAAAAGAAAAGAAAAGAAAAGAAAAUUUUAUUUUAGGAAUGUCACGUGGGAGAGAAAGAAUAAUAGCAAAACCAUGCAAAUUCAUUAAUGCAUUCGAUUUUCCUCUGCUCUAGGAAUGAUUUGAACACUUAAUGCAUUUGCAGAUUUGAUUUCUAUAACUAGGUUUAAGAGGAAGAAUAUAGCCCUACUUAAAAACAAAGUGGUCUAAUUUUUCCCAUUAGUGCUAGAUGUAUGGAACACAGCUAGAGUAGAUUGAGUUUAUUACUGGGCACCUGUCUUGAAUCCCAGUUAUUUAGCAGUAGGCAAAUUUCUUGUUUUUUUUUUUUCCAAGGAUUACUUUCCCUGAGUGUGUAAUAGGGAUAAUCAAAGGCAUUUAAAAACUUUGUGAGGUGCAGUUGAAUCAAUCUACAUGAAAGCUCUUAUCACUGAGUAAGAUCAAUAGUCCUCAAAGUGUGGUCUGGAGAAGCUUGGGAAUCAAUGAGGUCAAAAUUAUUUUUAUGAUAAAGCUAAUAUGUUAUUUGAUUUUUUUGCUUUCAUUUUCUCACAUGCUUACAGUGGAAUUUUCCAGAGACUACAUGGUGCAUGAUAUCGCAACAGACUGACUGCAGAAGCAGGUGUGAGAGUGUGUCUUCUAGUAAGCAAGAUAUGAAACAAACUUGCAAAAAUGUGAAACAAUGUCACUUUUCCCACUAGACUGUUUGUGUUUUGGAAAAUAUUUUUUGUAAAAAAUAUUAUUUAUGAUAACAUGUAGUGAGUUUUAUUCUUUUUAAAUGAAUCUUUAACAAUGUUUUCAGUUUAAUUUCCAAUACGGUAAAUAUUGAUAGAUAUAACCCACAUAAACAAAAGCCCUUUUAGGUUCUCAAUAAUUAUUAAAAGUGUAGAGGGGUCCUGAGAACACCAAGUCUGAGACAAGCCGAGUUAGAUGCUGUCUGAAGUCCUUCUAGCUCCUCUAGCCCACUAGUCCACUCUGUUGCUCAGGUGCCAGGUGCACCUGCUGGGUCUGCCCUCUUCAGCAGCCCCAUUUCACCCCAACCUUGUUGAGUAUAUCUGACACACUGAUCCUUCCGAAGAAUAAUCAUGCCACUUUAAUUUGCAUCCACUUUACUGUUCUCAAAAACUUUUCAUACCCUUGAUCUCAUUUAAUCCUGCAAGGUAGGUAAUAAGCAUCUGGUAAGAAACUUUGAAAAUGAGACUGGAUUUCUAAUUCUAAUGCACAUAAUCCAGGGAUUUGCUCAUCUAUAUUGUUAGAUCUGCCUGAAAAUAAAAGGUAAGUGAGAAAUGGUCAUGGUGUAUGUAGCAAUCUGGAUAAUGGAAUGGAGUAGGUGUUCUAAUCACCCCCUCUUCUGGGUUUCUUGUAAUCAAGCAAGAGAGGGAGAUUUAUAAAUGGAUGGACAUAAGGAGCCUACUUGAGUAGACCUUUUUGCCCCCACUUCACAGGAUGGCAGCUCUACUGAUGUCUCCCAGUUUUCUCUCAUAGACCCAGACCUGCAAGAACUCGAGGGAAAGGAAGAUCUUGAAAGCCUCUCAUUCACUGGGUGCUUCCAGCUCCAAGUGUGUGGUAAUGGUUUCAGAGGGAUUUGGAGAGAAACAGAAUAGUCGAACUUACCUCAUCAAACGACUCCAGUUUUUAUUGUCCCCCCAUAAAGAUAGUCUAAACCUGCUCCCCUGCUUGUGAACUCAGAGUCCUGUUGGGGGACUCAGAAGGUUGUACAUAUAUAUGUGUGAAUAGUUUUCAAAUGUUUCACACAUGUAUGUAUAAAUAAUUUUAAAUGUUUGUGUAUAUUGUCAUGAUUAAUAAAAAGCCCAUUCAUUUAAAAGCAUCACGUUAUAGCUUUCCCUCAUUAUACUCACACUAAAAAUAUUACUAUCAAGCAGGAUGAAAUUUUCAUCCAAAGGAGUCCUCAUUUUUGAAAAGGUUAAGACUCAUUGGUCUAAGCUGUAGUCUGGAGCUCUAUUGACAAAGGUGUAACAUUUAGAGCUAAAGCCAAGUUUCACACCAACAAUUUCCUCUCCUUAUUUUAAUUGUAUAUGGUACCAGGGUAGUGUUUGCCUUUGACUCUUUAUGGAAAAUGUGAUGACAAGCAGCAAAUGUUACAGCUACAUACACCGACACCUGCAGUUCUUGAGGGAGCGGUCCCAAGACGUUUGUGAAGUUGAAAGUACUUAAACCAGCUCCUCGCUUCCUUUUGAGCUCUUUCUCUAUUGAGGGUUGUUAUUUCCUGAGUAUGCACUUAUACCUCAAAUUAUACUUCUUUUCAGAAUUCAUUUAAGAUUUAUGUCUCUCUCUCGCCGGGUGUAGUGGCUCAUGCCUGUAAUCCCCGCACUUUGGGAGGCUGAGGCAGGCAGAUCACUUGAGGUCAGGAGUUUGAGACAAGUCUGGCCAACCUGGUGAAACCCUGUGUCUACUAAAAAUACAAAAAUUAGCCAGGCAUGGUGGUGGGCGCCUGUAAUCCCCGCUAUUCUGGAGGCUGAGGCAGGAGAAUUGCUUGAACCUGGGAGGCAGAAGUUGCAGUGAGCCGAGAUUGCACCACUGCACUCCAGCCUGGGUGACAGAAGCCUCCAUCUCAAAAAAAAAAAUUACGUCUCACUCGAUGGUCUUUUUUUUUUUUUUUUUUUUUUUCAGGAAAAAGCACAAAAUUCUUACCACUUCUCAGAUUUCCCCCACCUGGCAUGACAAUAAAAGACCCACAAAACUUAGUCGAUACGUUCCAAAGUAGCCAACUGAGUAGUGUUGCCAGAUUUAGCAAAUAAAAAUACAGAAUGCAUAGUUAAAUGUGAACUUCAGAUAAACAUCCCUUGGUAUCCGUGGGGGAUUGGUUUCAUGAACCCCUGAGAAUACCAAAAUCUGAGAAUGCUCAGGUCCCUUGUAUAAAAUAGCAUAAUAUUUGCAUAUAGCCUGCACACACCUCCCAUAUACUUUAAAUCAUCUCCAGAUUACUUAUAACUAAUAAAAUGUAAAUGCUAUGUAUUUGUCAUACUAUAUUGUUUUUUAAAAAGUUGUGUUUUUUAAGAAAUGUAUUCAAUCCACAGUUGGUUAAACCCACAGAUGAGGAACCCAUGGAUAUGGUGGGCCAAUUGUACAGUAACAUCCCAUGCAAUAUUUGGAAAAUACUUACACUAAAAACUUAUUUGUUGUUUAUCUGAAAUUCAAAUUUAAGUGGGCAUUCUGUGUUUUAUCUGGCAACCCUAAAAUUGACUUGUUCCAGUAUGGGAGACUUUCUGCUUGAGGAUUUAAAAUUUACACCUUAACGGAGGUGGCCAUUUUUACCUGUCAUGAGCCUUCAUGGGUCCCUGAAAACAGUAACCCUGCUGAAUUUUGUAUCUGUGAAUGCCAAGAAAGUAUUUUAUUGGCCACUCA
This 3940-nucleotide long non-coding RNA is filed under the name Homo sapiens (human). RNAcentral describes it as "HSALNT0064826". Lineage: Eukaryota; Metazoa; Chordata; Mammalia; Primates; Hominidae. The record is from RNAcentral.